GAAAAUCCUAUCUCUAGUCAACCCCUGCUCAAGCAUCAUGUCCUAUAAAUACCCGUGACUCUCCUCGACUAAUUCUCGUAAAACCCCCACGCCAAAACCCCAUAUACACGAAGCUUUCGGCGUUUGGAUCUUGCCACAGAAGCUGCGGUUCAUCGUCGGAUUCCAACGCCCGUGAGCCAUUCCGAGCCUCCAUCCUUUGCAGUUAGACUUAUUGCGAUCCUUAGCUUCUUUUUGACAUGGUCUAAUCUCGUAUCUCCAUCUACAACGACCGCCUCGAGCUCGUAACGUCGCCGUAGUUCACGGAGUUCACCUCGAUACCCCGUUCGCUUCGGUCACCACCAACCUUCACAUUCAGCAAAAAUCGUUUGCCCUCGACGUUCCGCAUCUGUUGGACAACUUCCCCGACGCCGUUGAUCACGGAUCACGGAGUAUGUUUUUUUUUUCCGUUUUAUUCCUAAAAAAACUGCUGGCCAGGCGAGCGCACCGGACGGCCAAGCUAACCAUGGGCCAGCGCCCCAGCCCACCCCACACGCAUGGUGGGAGUUGCCCUAGCGAGGCAAUGAGCGAGGCGAGCCACGAGUGCUCCUCCCAGCCGCUGCCGGCUGUUUGUUUUUCAAACAAAGGGCAACGAACCCCACGUUAUGUUUCUCUCCUCCCAAUUUCCUCUCUUUCUCGUACUCUCUCUCCCUGGCGCGUGGGACCCGCUCGGUCUUCUUCCUGUCCACGAAAACAAAACAGAGUCCAACUGCACGCACGUACGCGUAAAGACGCCGACUUCGGUUUAAACUUUGUGAAAAUCCUAUCUCAAGUCAACCCCUGCUCCAAGCAUCAUGUCCUAUAAAAACCCUUGUACGCGAAGCUUUCGUCAUUUGGAUCUCACCGCAGAAGCUGCGGUUCAUCGCCAUAUUCCGACGCCCGUGAGCCAUCUCGAGCCUCCAUCUUGUGUAGUUAGACUUUUUUCAAUCCCUAGCUUCUUUUUGACAAGGUUUAAUCUCAUCUCUUCGUCUAUAGCGACCACCUCGAGCUCGUAACGACGUCUUAGUUCACGGAGUUCACCUCGACGCCCCGCUCGCUUCGUUCACCAUCAACCUUCACCUUCAGCAAAAAAUCGGUCGCCCUCGAUGUUCCACAUGUGUUGGACAACUUCCCCGACGCUGUUGAUUGCGGGAGCCGCCUCACCAUCGUCAUCUUCUUCUGUGCCUCCUCAUAUUUGUUGUGUGUAAGUUAUUUUCAUAUUAGUUAAGUAGAGAUUGUUUACCUUUUAGCCUUGUAGCGAACACUUGCAGCAAACCAAUGAUAGCCACGUGUCGCAUAUCCGCAAUUUAAUGUUUUCAGAAAAAUCUCGUUUUUAAAUUAGAUCUCAGUUUUGUUUUGUAUCUUUAGUUUUAUAACUCCGUUUUCUUGUUGCUACAGAUUCAAAAAAAUCCCCUCUAUCACGUGGAACCAUCAAAAAAAAUAUAUUUUUGAACUUUUAAUUUUCGAGUUCAAACAGAUUUGUAGUAAACACUAAUUUAGGUAUAACUUUUAUUUAGAAUUUUGUUUUUGAUUGUUUCUUUUUGCUAAUGAUUUCGACAUGUUAUGUUUAUCGAGAGGUCUAAUGAAAAUAUAUUUUGUAUUUAUAAAUUUUCGAUCUGGACAGAUUCAAGAUUUAUUUUAAAUAGGUCAUAACUUUUGUUUUAUAGAACCUUUUUAUUUGAUUCUUUUUGUGUAGAAAAGUUUAGGUGAAAUACUUUCUGUUAAUUUCAUUAGUCUUAUUUUUUUCUGUUAAGAUGUUAUUAGCUACAGAAAACUAUUUAUAGUUUGCUUUGUUUUUACUAAAAGCUUUGCCAUGGACUUUUGGAUGAAUUCUUUAUUUGGUUUUUCUCUCUUGUCUACGUUAGUGUUAUUGGUUGUUUUAAUAUUAUUAGUUUUUACUUGUUGUUAUGUUUAUGUUGUGCUUAUUGCGUGAACUGUUUGUCUCUUAGAUCAUCCGGAGUGCGAGGCUUGCUAUAUAGAGUCACUCGAGUUUGAAGACCGUCAGCAAGGCAAGUUCACAUUGAUCAUGUAUUAGCUAUGAUUUUAUUGCAUUAGUUCAACUUUUUCCACCAUUGCAUGUAAAGUAGGUAAAUUGGAAACUUGGUUCUUGAGUAGUAUCAUGUGGUAGGCACCCCAUAAACCCUUGUCACUUUGGUCCGGGAGACGAUGUUUUCUUUGCUAUGCUUUAGUAGACGGGGUAGGUUGAGUGUUUAUCAUGAGAGUUGUGAGACUUAAUGAAUGACCAAGACCUCAACACUUCAAGAUUUUCAAGACCUCAUGAUUGCAAUAUACCUCUGGGUGGAAAUUGGUUGAACGACACCCUGGAGUACCCAGUGAUAGCCUAGGUGUUGCUGAAGAAGUGCGAGUGUUCACGCGGAAAGUUCCACCCAGGUACGAAGAGAUGGAUGGAUACUUCAAGACCCGAGGCUUACCUGCAUAGCCACAAGCCAUUAUGGGCUCUGGCUUGGUUGGACAUCGUGGCGACUCUGGAUGGGUUGUGCUACGAGAUGUAGAAGAACGGUAGGAAUGGAUGGGCACCGACAAUCGCUCAGAGGAACCCGUUGGAAGACCAUGUUUUGAUCAUCCGGUUCUCAAACACCUUGCUGUGCGAGGACUUCAAUGGAGGCGAUCAAAUCUUGUGGGAAACGUGUGCAAAACUCUGUAGAGUACCAAACCUAAUCGAUUAGUCAUGUCCACGAUUACGGACAACUUGAGCCAAAGGAACCGAAACUAUGAGGAAUUCUUGACACAAAUAAAUUUAAUGAUGUGGGAAUUAUUAUUUGGGUAUGAGAAAUGUUUGGUGGAACCUUCUCAUUAAACAACCAAUAUGUAGUAAUUAUUUUCGCUUUUGCCCCCUCUCCUGUUGUAGGAAAAAUUUGCUUUCCGCUAAAAUUUACAGCCCCACCUGCCAUAUAUGCAUAUAGUGUAGAUGAUAUUUUCACCCCUCUUUUUUGUGACUUGCCGUCAUAUUCAACAUGAUGACCUACACGGCGGCAACGUGUCAUGUUGCAGAGUACUUUUCCGACCAGGAGUAAGGACACGAUCUACGCUCGGUGAUAUGCCCUUUGAGUCAGAUGGACUCAACUACCUUUGAAGCUUCUGCUAGUUUUCGAUUAGUUUUAUCACAUGAGUUGGCCUUCAACCACUUUAUUGUAAUCUUUAUUGAAAUAAAGGACUCGAUAUGAGAUUUCGAUUAAUAAAGCAGUGUGAUUGAACUCUCGAU
This 3238-nucleotide long non-coding RNA is filed under the name Hordeum vulgare. RNAcentral's name for it is "long non-coding RNA (HVUL_LNC018523)". Lineage: Eukaryota; Viridiplantae; Streptophyta; Magnoliopsida; Poales; Poaceae. The record is from RNAcentral.